GAUGAACGCUGGCGGCGUGCCUGAUACAUGCAAGUCGAGCGAACGGACGAGAAGCUUGCUUCUCUGAUGUUAGCGGCGGACGGGUGAGUAACACGUGGAUAACCUACAUAUAAGACUGGGAUAACUUCGGGAAACCGGAGCUAAUACCGGAUAAUAUUUUGAACCGCAUGGUUCAAAAGUGAAAGACGGUCUUGCUGUCACUUAUAGAUGGAUCCGCGCUGCAUUAGCUAGUUGGUAAGGUAACGGCUUACCAAGGCAACGAUGCAUAGCCGACCUGAGAGGGUGAUCGGCCACACUGGAACUGAGACACGGUCCAGACUCCUACGGGAGGCAGCAGUAGGGAAUCUUCCGCAAUGGGCGAAAGCCUGACGGAGCAACGCCGCGUGAGUGAUGAAGGUCUUCGGAUCGUAAAACUCUGUUAUUAGGGAAGAACAUAUGUGUAAGUAACUGUGCACAUCUUGACGGUACCUAAUCAGAAAGCCACGGCUAACUACGUG
RNAcentral lists this ribosomal RNA (497 nucleotides) under uncultured bacterium. RNAcentral's name for it is "partial 16S ribosomal RNA". It matches the Rfam family "Bacterial small subunit ribosomal RNA", at positions 28 to 507 of the family's 1533-position model. The record is from RNAcentral.